This 27-nucleotide non-coding RNA is filed under the name Mus musculus (house mouse). Lineage: Eukaryota; Metazoa; Chordata; Mammalia; Rodentia; Muridae. The record is from RNAcentral.
UACUUGUCUCACAACCAUGAGGGCCUG